RNAcentral lists this long non-coding RNA (427 nucleotides) under Anas platyrhynchos platyrhynchos (common mallard). RNAcentral's name for it is "lncRNA (ENSAPLG00000022846.1)". The record is from RNAcentral. Lineage: Eukaryota; Metazoa; Chordata; Aves; Anseriformes; Anatidae.
AUGAGGAGACAGAUUUACUGCGGUGCAAUCUCAGGGCAGAACACUUCUCCCAUUAACGUUUCGUGGGAGUCCCACACACUUCCUGUGCUGCAGUUGCAGCUAUGCAGCCUGAGUGGCCCCAGAACUGCCAGAUUCCCUGAGCAGCAUAACUCCCUUGAAGAAAGCUUCUCACCCACGGUAUGGCUCAGGCAGUUUCACUCGGCCGUGCCAGCUCCAGCCUGGGAUCUUGCAAGAAGAGCAGGACAGACGGGCAGGCAGGAUGUGACAGGUGAAGCAGCGUUCUUGGCACAGCAAAUAGUGUUUGCUUUGGGUGAAAGGUCUAACCCAGGUUUGCUCCCGCCAGCCUCCUCGCUCUCAGGGCCUUGCUUCCAGGUGCCUCCCUUACACACAUGGGCUCUGGCCAGCCCCAAAGUGAAAUUGCAGGGCU